AGGACGAACGCUGGCGGCGUGCUUAACGACAUGCAAGUCGAGCGGAAAGGCCCUUCGGGGUACUCGAGCGGCGAACGGGUGAGUAACACGUGAGUAAUCUGCCCCUAGCUCUGGGAUAGCUCCGGGAAACCGGGAUUAAUACCAGAUACGACCACUUUAGACAUCUGUUGUGGUGGAAAGAAUUUUGGCUAGGGAUGAGCUCGCGGCCUAUCAGCUUGUUGGUGAGGUAACGGCUCACCAAGGCGACGACGGGUAGCCGGCCUGAGAGGGCGACCGGCCACACUGGGACUGAGACACGGCCCAGACUCCUACGGGAGGCAGCAGUGGGGAAUAUUGCGCAAUGGGCGAAAGCCUGACGCAGCGACGCCGCGUGGGGGAUGAAGGCCUUCGGGUUGUAAACCCUUUCAGCAGGACGAAGCGAAGUGACGGUACCUGCAGAAGAAGCGCCGGCUAACUACGCGCCAGCAGCCGC
Molecule: ribosomal RNA, 472 nt
Filed under: uncultured bacterium
Lineage: Bacteria
Description: SSU rRNA
Rfam family: Bacterial small subunit ribosomal RNA
Source: RNAcentral